CCCAGGAGGUGGAGGUUGCAGUGAGCUGAGAUCAUGUGCCAUUGCACUCCUGCUUGGGUG
Molecule: non-coding RNA, 60 nt
Filed under: Homo sapiens (human)
Lineage: Eukaryota; Metazoa; Chordata; Mammalia; Primates; Hominidae
Source: RNAcentral